RNAcentral lists this ribosomal RNA (737 nucleotides) under uncultured archaeon. RNAcentral's name for it is "bacterial SSU rRNA". It matches the Rfam family "Archaeal small subunit ribosomal RNA", at positions 118 to 842 of the family's 1478-position model. The record is from RNAcentral.
GAACGGGACAACCCGGGAACUGGGGCUAAUACCCGAUAGGCGAGGGCGCCUGGAAUGGUUCUUCACCCAAAGGGCUUUGGAAGCAUGCUUUUCAAAGUCGCCUGGGGAUGGGGCCGCGUCCGAUCAGGUUGUUGGUGAGGUAACGGCUCACCAAGCCUAUAACCGGUACGGGCCGUGAGAGCGGUAGCCCGGAGAUGGGCACUGAGACAAGGGCCCAGGCCCUACGGGGCGCAGCAGUCGCGAAAACUCCGCAAUGCACGAAAGUGUGACGGGGCUACCCCGAGUGCCGUCCGCUGAGGAUGGCUUUUCCUCGGUGUAACUAGCCGGGGGAAUAAGGAGAGGGCAAGACUGGUGUCAGCCGCCGCGGUAAUACCAGCUCUCCGAGUGGUAGGGAUGAUUAUUGGGCCUAAAGCGUCCGUAGCCGGCUUAGCAAGUCUCCUGUUAAAUUCAGCGACCUAAUCGUUGAGCCGCGGGAGAUACUACUAAGCUAGGAGGCGGGAGAGGCCGACGGUACUUCCGGGGUAGGGGUGAAAUCCUAUAAUCCCGGGCGGACCACCAGUGGCGAAGGCUGUCGGCUAGAACGCGCUCGACGGUGAGGGACGAAAGCUGGGGGAGCGAACCGGAUUAGAUACCCGGGUAGUCCCAGCCGUAAACGAUGCGGGCUAGGUGUUGGGGUGGCUACGUGCCACUUCAGUGCCGCAGGGAAGCCAUUAAGCCCGCCGCCUGGGAGUACGCCG